UACGUAGGGGGCAAGCGUUGUCCGGAUUCAUUGGGCGUAAAGAGCGUGUAGGCGGCCUGAAAGGUCAGCUGUGAAAACUCGAGGCUCAACCUCGAGACGUCGGUUGAAACCGUACGGCUAGAGUCCGGAAGAGGAGAGUGGAAUUCCCGGUGUAGCGGUGAAAUGCGCAGAUAUCGGGAAGAACACCCGUGGCGAAGGCGGCUCUCUGGGACGGUACUGACGCUGAGACGCGAAAGCGUGGGGAGCGAACAGG
Molecule: ribosomal RNA, 253 nt
Filed under: uncultured bacterium
Lineage: Bacteria
Description: partial 16S ribosomal RNA
Rfam family: Bacterial small subunit ribosomal RNA
Source: RNAcentral